CUGAAGCAGUGUACUGCGUCUUCCGGUUAUUGCGUUCGAAAUGGCUGCCUGUAAUUGCUGGACAACUUCGCUCUCGCAUCUCCCAAAAGUUGGCCAAGACGAUGUGGUGCGACUCGUGAAUGAACACUCAAAGGUAAAAUCAUCCAAGUUGGAGAAAGGAUACAAGUUCUUCUACGAGAAUUUUGUCUUCAAUUAUAGAGAUUGUGCUGCAUGCCGUUAGACCUGUGGAGUUAAAUGGAUGCUCCUGCUCGUGUGCUGCUGGAAUGGCUUUAUGCAACCAUGUGGUUGCACUCCUGUUUCAAACGGCUCACUACAGCACCAUGGGGCUGAAAACUGUGCCAACCCCACUGUCCUGCACCGGUGUGCUUCAAUCAUGGCACCGUCCAAGGACACAGGGGAUUCGUCCCGAACCCACGGAUUAACUCGUGGUACGAAAGCCAAAG
Molecule: long non-coding RNA, 443 nt
Organism: Rhinichthys klamathensis goyatoka
Lineage: Eukaryota; Metazoa; Chordata; Actinopteri; Cypriniformes; Leuciscidae
Exons: 3
Source: RefSeq, a predicted model, not a curated record